GCACGAGUGAGUUUUUCAAAGACCUCAAAAUAGCACGAAUCCGAAGGAUGAGUGCUAUUUGAGGUCUUUGAAAAACUCACGAGUGC
Molecule: microRNA precursor, 86 nt
Filed under: Paramuricea clavata
Lineage: Eukaryota; Metazoa; Cnidaria; Anthozoa; Malacalcyonacea; Plexauridae
Source: RNAcentral